Micropterus salmoides (largemouth bass) is the source of this 852-nucleotide long non-coding RNA. RefSeq lists it as uncharacterized. The transcript is spliced from 4 exons. The record is from RefSeq and is a predicted model, not a curated record. Lineage: Eukaryota; Metazoa; Chordata; Actinopteri; Centrarchiformes; Centrarchidae.
AGCAGCAGGCCGACUAGCUGAGCCCUUCACUCUUGUGAGUUCUUGACCUGACGUGGUGCAUCGGCCCUGACGAGACUGACAAAAAGGGUUGAAGAGGCACCACCUCUCUCCAUCCUGCACGACCUUCCUUCCCUCCUCCAAGAGAGGGGCCAUCCAUCCAUUCGCUCACCCAUACUUCCAUCCGCCCAUCUGGCUGACUGAUGCACAGAAGGGGAACGAGACUGUCAAGAUCCCUGAACCUCAGCCGAACCAUUCUCUCUCUCUCUGUCUCUCUCUCUGUCUCUCUCUCUCUGUCUCCUUCCCUCCCUAGCCAUUAGAAGUGGUUGAAGGACUGAUAACCGUGCUGCUGCAGCUAUUCCCUGCGGACAGAAAGACAGACACACAUGGAGCAAACAACCACGUUAGAAGCAGGACAGAAACGCACAUGCAGUGUAAUGGGAAGGUGAGUCACAAAAGGAGAAGAAAAGAGAGGGGCGAGAUCAGAGAAUUGAGGGAGUCGGGCAGGGAGAGGGAGGAGCAGUAUGAAAGAAGAGGUGGAGAGAUCAGAGAAAAAGAGUUGAUGGAUUUCCUGUCUGAAUAAAUGAAGAGGAGGGAAGCUGUUUGAUCAAUGAGCUGUCUAUCCUCUCCUCACCCUUCUGCGCCUCGGCUGGAUGGAGUUUUCACUACACAAACAAAACGGAAAAUGUAAUUUUCCCAAUUUAAAUACCUCCUGCAGUAUGUGGAUCCCAUGUGUUAAAAGGCGAUUAAUAAUGAAUAAAGCACUCUACAUACUGACUGUUUUCAAACUCUUUCAGCGUACAUCUAUGGAGGGAAAAAAAAUCAAUAUCUAGGCUUUGUGUAAAGUUUUGACUG